Long non-coding RNA from Stegastes partitus (bicolor damselfish), 918 nucleotides. RefSeq lists it as uncharacterized. NCBI's taxonomy places the organism in Eukaryota, Metazoa, Chordata, Actinopteri, Pomacentridae. The record is from RefSeq and is a predicted model, not a curated record. The transcript is spliced from 2 exons.
GCAGCAGCGCAGCCGCAAUAACAGCAGCAGAAGAAGAAGAAGCCACUGGCAGCUGCGGCCUCAGCAGAAAUGGGCGCCGGUGCGACUCCCGUGACUGAGUUCGAAGAAGACCUGAAGAAGCCUAAAGGAGCUUCGGUGUCGUUACCGAAACACUCCUACUGGUUUGACUUCUGGGUCUUCGUGCUCUUCGACAUCGCCUUCUUCCUCGUCAUGUACUUCGUGGUGCCGUAAGCAGGUUGUCUCUUGGACUUUGGAGCAUGAAGACAUGAAGCGCUGGUCCUGGCCUACUGUAUGAAAUCUAACCCAGCUUUGACUGAAUCUAACACCACGUUACUGAAUGUCUCAUCUCAAGUAUCCACGGCUUGGACCAAACAAGUUCAUGGCAUUCUGCCCUAAUAUCAAAGAUCUGAACCACAGACCUGCCUCCCACUGGGACCUGCAGCUCGUCACACAAGACUGUCUUUCUGCAUGGAUGGAUUCUUGAGGAAGAACAAAAGUCUGAAGUAUUUGUACUGUUGGAAAGUUUCAAUGGCGUCAACAGGAUUUCUGAAAUGUAGCGAAUGUAAAAUCACAAAGGCGCUGUUGUAAGUGAAUGUUACCCAGACCUGAUCUGCUUCGUCUUUUUGAUAAGCAGUCACUGAUAAUUUUUAACUAUAUUGCUUUUAUUUUAAAUGUUUUAGCUUUAUCUCCAAUUCUCCUGUUGACCUGAUCAGCAGCCAAACACUGGAGAGUCUCACGUCUGGAAAUGUGUGUUUUUAAUAAGCUGUCUGAUGAGUUGGUUGUGGGACCAGUGAAGACACAUAACAUUCAUGAUUGUACUUGCACAACAUAAAGAACAACGCGUGGCUGUGAAGCAGUUCCAGCACACUGGAGUCAGUUUGCACAUGGAGCAAAUAAAGUGUUUUGACUAAAUGCUGA